RNAcentral lists this ribosomal RNA (758 nucleotides) under fungal sp. RNAcentral's name for it is "eukaryotic LSU rRNA". The stretch from base 515 to 758 matches the Rfam family "Eukaryotic large subunit ribosomal RNA", at positions 1 to 241 of the family's 3401-position model. The record is from RNAcentral. Lineage: Eukaryota; Fungi.
CUGCGGAAGGAUCAUUACCGAGUGAGGGCCCUCUGGGUCCAACCUCCCACCCAUGUUUAUUGUACCUUGUUGCUUCGGCGGGCCCGCCUCACGGCCGCCGGGGGGCUUCUGCCCUCUGGCCCGCGCCCGCCGAAGACACCAUUGAACACUGUCUGAAGAUUGCAGUCUGAGCAAUUAGCUAAAUAAGUUAAAACUUUCAACAACGGAUCUCUUGGUUCCGGCAUCGAUGAAGAACGCAGCGAAAUGCGAUACGUAAUGUGAAUUGCAGAAUUCAGUGAAUCAUCGAGUCUUUGAACGCACAUUGCGCCCCUUGGUAUUCCGGGGGGCAUGCCUGUCCGAGCGUCAUUGCUGCCCUCAAGCACGGCUUGUGUGUUGGGCCCCGUCCUCCUUCCCGGGGGACGGGCCCGAAAGGCAGCGGCGGCACCGCGUCCGGUCCUCGAGCGUAUGGGGCUUUGUCACCCGCUCUUGUAGGCCCGGCCGGCGCUUGCCGACAACCAUCAAUCUUUUUUCAGGUUGACCUCGGAUCAGGUAGGGAUACCCGCUGAACUUAAGCAUAUCAAUAAGCGGAGGAAAAGAAACCAACAGGGAUUGCCUCAGUAACGGCGAGUGAAGCGGCAAGAGCUCAAAUUUGAAAGCUGGCCCCCUCGGGGUCCGCAUUGUAAUUUGCAGAGGAUGCUUCGGGAGUGGCCCCCAUCUAAGUGCUCUGGAACGGGCCGUCAUAGAGGGUGAGAAUCCCGUAUGGGAUGGGGUGUCCGCGA